Molecule: ribosomal RNA, 253 nt
Filed under: uncultured bacterium
Lineage: Bacteria
Description: partial 16S ribosomal RNA
Rfam family: Bacterial small subunit ribosomal RNA
Source: RNAcentral
UACGGGGGGGGCAAGCGUUGUUCGGAAUUACUGGGCGUAAAGGGCCAGUAGGCGGCCAACUAAGGCGAACGUGAAAUCCCCGGGCUCAACCCGGGAACUGCGUCCGAUACUGGAAGGCUUGAAUCCGGGAGAGGGAUGCGGAAUUCCAGGUGUAGCGGUGAAAUGCGUAGAUAUCUGGAGGAACACCGGUGGCGAAGGCGGCAUCCUGGACCGGCAUUGACGCUGAGGCGCGAAAGCCAGGGGAGCAAACGGG